RNAcentral lists this ribosomal RNA (208 nucleotides) under uncultured bacterium. RNAcentral's name for it is "partial 16S ribosomal RNA". It matches the Rfam family "Bacterial small subunit ribosomal RNA", at positions 568 to 774 of the family's 1533-position model. The record is from RNAcentral.
CUCGUAGGUGGCCAACUAAGUCAGACGUGAAAUCCCUCGGCUUAACCGGGGAACUGCGUCUGAUACUGGAUGGCUUGAGUGUGGGAGAGGGAUGCGGAAUUCCAGGUGUAGCGGUGAAAUGCGUAGAUAUCUGGAGGAACACCGGUGGCGAAGGCGGCAUCCUGGACCACGACUGACGCUGAGUGAGCGAAAGCCAGGGGAGCAAACG